UUUUUUUAAAUAUUAACCUCCAUAGCUAAACACUUCCCCCUCCACAAUCCCAACUCGAUUUCCCUCUUCUUUUUGUUCUUUAAUUUUUUUUCAACUCCCAUUACCGAAUCCCAUAACUGUAAUGAUUAAGAUGAUGCUCAGGAAAAAAUUCAUCAAGAUGAUGCUCAAAAAAUGAUUAAGAUGGAGCUGGUCUUCGAUCUCAGUUUUGAAACGAUCGCGGUAUUUUCACCUUCAUGGUUCGCUCUGUACAGCUGAAGACUUAGUGCAUGUGGUAUUUUUGUAAAUAUUUAUAUGUGGACUGUAUAAAUGUUUAAUGGGCCGGCCCAAAGUAUUUUUGUAAUUUUUUUUUCUUUUUUGUAUUUUUCUGUUUUUUUCCCUUAAUUAAAUAUUCAACAAGACUUCUUUUAGCAAUUAA
Molecule: long non-coding RNA, 415 nt
Organism: Cannabis sativa
Lineage: Eukaryota; Viridiplantae; Streptophyta; Magnoliopsida; Rosales; Cannabaceae
Exons: 2
Source: RefSeq, a predicted model, not a curated record